CACCGGAAAAAGAGGAGUGGCGAACGGGUGAGUAACACGUGGGUAACCUGUCCAUCAAAAGGGGAUAACACUUGGAAACAGGUGCUAAUACCGUAUAACAAUCAAAACCGCAUGGUUUUGAUUUGAAAGGCGCUUUCGGAUGUCGCUGAUAUAAGGAACUCG
This 162-nucleotide ribosomal RNA is filed under the name Enterococcus sp. RNAcentral's name for it is "partial 16S ribosomal RNA". It matches the Rfam family "Bacterial small subunit ribosomal RNA", at positions 78 to 233 of the family's 1533-position model. Lineage: Bacteria; Bacillati; Bacillota; Bacilli; Lactobacillales; Enterococcaceae. The record is from RNAcentral.